UACGUAUGGGGCAAGCGCUAUCCGGAUUUACUGGGUGUAAAGGGAGCGCAGGCGGCCUGGCAAGCCUGAUGUGAAAUACCGGGGCCCAACCCCGGGGCUGCAUUGGGAACUGCCAGGCUGGAGUGCCGGAGAGGCAGGCGGAAUUCCUAGUGUAGCGGUGAAAUGCGUAGAUAUUAGGAGGAACACCAGUGGCGAAGGCGGCCUGCUGGACGGUGACUGACGCUGAGGCUCGAAAGCGUGGGGAGCAAACAGG
This 253-nucleotide ribosomal RNA is filed under the name uncultured bacterium. RNAcentral's name for it is "partial 16S ribosomal RNA". It matches the Rfam family "Bacterial small subunit ribosomal RNA", at positions 524 to 776 of the family's 1533-position model. The record is from RNAcentral.